UCUCUUGCCCGGGGCCAGACAAGCAGCAGUGCUGUGUCCCCUCAGGGCUGCCCAAAAUGCAGUCACUUGUGGAGAAGGGUAAGUGGCUGGGGCUAGGUGUCCACGGUCAUGAGCACAAAGCCCCACAUGAUGGGCUGUGCUCUGAGACUUGGGGUAGAAAGAGAAGGGGACCAGUGGGUGAGGGACCAGGUCCCAGGCUAAUUCUCCAGGUACUGCCAAGGAUGGCAUUUUGACAGGUCGAAGAAAUUUCAAGUUAGAACCUAGCUUUCUCAGUUGUUAUGGAGCUGCAUUUGUUAAGAAAGGAGGAUAGAGUAUAUCUUAUUUAAGCUUGCUUGAUUUAUAACAUUUAAAUAUUUUAAAAUAUGGUAUUUGUGUUCCCUCGUUUAUUCUUUUCAGAGCCCUGAAAAUGUGAGGGUCUGGCCUGUGACCACCCCUGCUGUAGCCACGGGCCCAGGAGUCUAUUCUGUGGGCCUAUAUCCUAGGGUUGGAAGAUGCUGGCCUGAAGGAUGCUUUCUGACUCUCUGAGUUAACAAUACCUACCUGGCAAGGGAUGGAGCAACUUAAAUGAGGAAACAGGGGAAUAUGUGAAGACCGCUGGCACAGGGCCUAGAGGAGCAAGAACUCAGUAAAUAACUGCUUCCCUUCCUCGAGUAAGGCUAAUUCAUUUAAAACUAACACUUCUCCUUUACUUCCCUCAUUUAUAUUUUCAGGACUAAGUAAUUGAAUUAUUUCCAUUUUUCUUCUUGUGAUGAAUUUCCAACUCAUCUCAGUUGUGUGUGUGUGUGUGUGUGUGUGUGUGUGUGUGUGUGUGUGUGAAGAGUGUGUCCUUCAUACAGUAUAUCAAAAUGACAACUAGCCUGCCAUCAGGAGGCUGAACACUUUGAGUUUUUUAUGACAAGAGACUGUUCAUAUUUCUCCUUUGCCAGCAACUCUUCUUCCCCACAUAUCAACACCCUGUCUAGUCUCCUGCAGUGAGUAUGUGGAACAGAUACAUAGAUGAGCUUGGUCACUGGGCCUGGAGGUACUCAGCUAGUGGCCCUCAGUAGAUGCUGGAGAAUUGAAGCAAGGUUGACUCCAGACUGUUGAGGUUAACCGUGCCCUAUUACAACCUACUUUCAGUGUUUUACAGUGAGUCUGUAAGCUCCUGGUUCAGUACCCAUUCCUCGGUGUAUUAGGCCUGCAUAGCAACUGUUUAGUAAAUGCCUGUCAGAUGGAAGCAUGAGUAAGUGAUAGAAAAUGCAAUUAGGGACUUCCCUGGUGGCACAGUGGUUAAGAAUCCACCUGCCAAUGCAGGGGACAUGGGUUUGAUCCCUGGUCUGGGGAGAUCCCACAUGCCGCAGAGCAACUAAGCCUGUGCACCACAACUACUGAGCCUGUACUCUAGAGCCACAACUACGGAGCCCAUGAGCCACAACUACUGAGCCCACACACCACAACUACUGAAGCCUGUGCACUCUAGGGCCCACGUGCCACAACAACUGAAGCCUGUGUGCCUAGAGCCUGUGCUCUGCAACAAGAGACACCACUGCAAUGAGAAGCCCGCGCACUGCAACGAAGAGUAGCCCCCGCUCGCCACAACUAGAGAAAGCCCACGUGCAGCAACAAAGACCCAAUGUAGCCAAAAUAAAUAAAUAAAUAAAAUUCUUUAAAAAUUUAAAAAAAAAAAAGAAAAGAAAAAAGAAAAUGCAGCUAGGAGUUGAAGCCCUGUGCUUGCUGUGGGCCCAUUUUACCUUCAGUAGUAGGCAAGCCACAUAUGUGUUUGUUGCCUAUUUGAAUAAACUAUAAGAAUAAAUGAAAUGAAUGAACACUGAAUGGAUGGUGGAGAAAUGUCUAUGAGCAGAUAGAGGGCUGCACUGAGGCAGCAUCUGUGUUGAACUGCUCCACACACUGAAAGGCUUGAAGCUUCCUGUCCAUCCAUUUCUCUUUCUCUAAAAUAGGCCCAUGGUAUCUGCCCAAACAGGGAAAAGUAUUUAAUAAGACGAGGUGCUCUAGCUGAGUGCUGUAAAUUCUUGGGGAUUGCUCUUAAUAUUUGUCAGUCAAUAUAACUGAUUAACAGAAGACUUAGCUGUGCAUAUAUUAGUUCUUAAAAGGAGAUAUAGUUUUCUUAUUAUUUGAAAUUCUUCUUAGCCACCCAACUCUUGCGUUUGCUUCGUCUCUGUUUUGUGUUCACCUGUACAUAGAUACGGAUGGACUAAUACUGGCUCUAAACGAGGACGAGGGCCUGUCUCAGUUCAGGCACCAUAGUGUCUAAGGCCCACACUGUGACUGGAAGUUGCCCUGCAGCCCUGGCUGGCUAAAGAUGAAGCUGCUGAAGUUCUGGCAGUGGCAUGGGCACAGACACAUCUCUGCCACUCCUAUGAACCUCAAAUAAAGCCGAAUGGAGCUAGCAAGCCAUGGCUUAGAAUUAGAGAGCAGAUUUCUAUAAAAUCAAAUCAUCAGUGGAAAGCUUGCUGCAGACUGUGUAUUAUUUAGGACACAUGUCAAGAUGCUGAACAGAGAAGCCCCAAAACAUGUGACAACACAAGCUAGGUCAGCAAUCCUGGGCAGGGAGACAUUUAUGCUCCAGGGACCCAGGUUAGCAGGUGUGAUACGCCUUCCUGCAUAUGGCUUCCAUCGUGAGUCCAACCUCUUCUGCUCUUGUUGCCAUUUCCUGGCUGUGGGAAUGGGGCAAAAGGAAGUUCAUGGCAAGUUCUGUCUGUAAGGACAUGACCCUGAAAUUCUGUACAUAACCACUGCCCCAAACUUUGUCCAUGGCUACAUGUGCAGAGGAUGUUGGGAAACAUAAUCUCCAGCUAGGAGAACUUAUGCCCUGGUAAGAUUCCUAAAAAGGAAAAAAGGGAGUAUGGCUAGCAGGAGACAAUUGAGCAUCUCUGCUAGAGGGUGGGAGGCAGAUGUGUUCAAUUUUGCAAAUUUUUUGUGUAUUCUAGUAGAACACUUUAAUUACAAAUAGUGAAAGAAAGAAAAGAGGAGGCAUUGUGAGAGUCCACGUAAAGCAGCAAGAGAGAAACCAUAGAAGCCAAAAGGCAACUGUAGCAGGAUUGGAACCCACAAGGUUGUGACAGAAGGUACUUCCAUGUCUAAUGCUCCUCAAGGGGCCCCUGUAUUUAGAGUUUGCAGAUCUUUCACCACUUGUACUGAAGUGACUUGGCUACAUCUGUAUGUGUGUUUUUUUCGGCCCCAACUAUUCAGCUGGCUAUUCCUCUUAAUUUACGCUCAUAGAUGAACUCUCUUGGGCCUCACCCUUACUUUAAACAAUUGCAAUUUCUUUCUCCACUUUUAACUAGAAACUUCUUUCAUUGUUCUGAGUCAGGUCAUACAGGUUCUGAGUCACUGGUCACACUAUGGGGUUAGUCUCUUUAGCUGGUACUAUAGAAAGAGUAAGUGUCCCUAGGAAAAGGAGGGGGUGGCAGGUAUAGUGGCAUCUCUUAUACACUAGCUCCCUGCUACUCAGAAUGUGACCCAAAGACCAACAGCAUCAGCAUCAGCAUCGCCUGGGAGGUUUUUAGAAAUUCAGAAUCUCAGGCCACACCUCGAACCCACCGUAUUAGUUUCCUAGGUAUUGUACUUUGCCUUCGCAUAACACCACAAACUGGGCAGCUUAAACAACAGAAAUGGUCUCACAGUUUUAGAGGCUACAAGUUUGAGAUCAAGAUGUUAGCAGAGUUGGUUUCUUUUGUCAUCUUUGAGGUAGAAUCUGUGGCAUGCUUUUCUCCUAGCCUCUGGUGCUUUGCUGGCCAUCUUUGGAAUUCCUUGGCUUGUAUAUGCAUUACCCUGAUCUCUGCUUUGAUGUUUACAUGGCAUUCUGCCUGUGUUCAGGUGUCUCUUCAUGUGGCAUUGUUUUUUAAGGACACUAGUCAUACUGAUACAGGAGCCUAAACCCUACUCCAGUAAAACUUCAUCUUAACUAAUUACAUCAGCAAUGACCCUAUUUCCACAUGAGGUCACAGUCUGAGGCACUGAGGGUUAAAACUUCAACUUGAAUUUAGUGGGGGCACACAAAACCACUGAAUCAGAAUCUCAAGCAAGUAAUUUGUAUGCAUAUUAAAAUUUGAGAGGAAGUGCCCUAAAGUUCUCCAAACACUGAUGUGCGACCAACACACUUACUACUACCCCAAGUGUAUAAUGGAAGUCACCCUAAACUUGGACUCCUGGAUUCUGGCUCUACCUCAGCCAUUUUACUUUUAGCGCACAGCCAUGCAUCAGGCCCGUGUUCACCACUCAGUAGACAUUUAUUGAAUUAGUGAUAAAACUGGGCCAAAGGGUUUUCAUGUUUCAAGUGAAUAUACCCACUUCACGAGAAUAUUGUAAAGAUUAUAUGGCUUAUCAGAUAUAUUUUUUGAAUUUGAAUGAGUAGCUGUAUUAGUCACAGUCCAGUUGGGAGACAAAAACAUAGCUCAUUUGAACACAGAAAGUUUAAUGUGAUGAGUUAUUAUCUGUAAGAGGGGAGUAACUACAAAGGCAUAAAGAGAACUCUAAAGAAGCCUUUGGGGGUGAGAGAGUAUGUAGGGAAGGAACAAACACAGAAAGAGAGGAUUUCUCCCCAAGGUUUGGAUUCAGAUUUCAUUGGAGAAGGUGUGGUUACCCCCACUGGAUGGCAGAGAAAUUUUAUGGAUUGCCCUGGGCCAGAGCUGGUCCACAGUCAUAGGGCAGAAAAUACGCUCCCAAGAUACAGGCUGGUGGAUAAUGACGGGUGGAAACCAGGAGUCGAGGUGCUGGGAGCCAGUUGCCAGUGGUUUCUGCAUCAGGAGGGCUGCAGUAAGGUGAUUGCUGGACCGGGGCCAGUCCUGAGCUCACCAGCGGAAUGUAUGCACCACUGGAUGCCCUGCAGUGGGAAGGUGCAAAAAGAAAAGAAACAGAAGCAAAAAGAGAAACAAAACCACAACAGAACCAGGGAGAAAAGACCCUUCCUUCUGCAAUGUCCCUCCAGUGCCCUCUACUGACAUAACUUAACAUUUGCCUAUUGCAAAGGAGAAAUGCUAAAGGGCCCCUCUCACUAGAGCACAGCAGCUAGUGAAGGAUGGAUUUUGCAGCUGCAAGGCAAUAGCUGGCACAUGCACUAUGCAACUAGAAAGUUUUAAUUUUUUCCUCAGUACUAAAGCCAAAUAUGGUUUCAGAGAAGGGAAAUAAAGAAUGUGGAACUAUUAAUGCCUUAUCAAAUACUUAAGGAAUUUAGUCUCCCCAGCAUUUCUCUAAUUCCCACAUAUACACUGAUUUUUCCACCAGAUUACCUUAUGUGAUUUUUUUAGAAGGGGUGGGGGCAUUAAUUUUGAAGAGAGACAUUAACAAAAUUGUUAACUGAGCAAAUCUUGAUGAUGGUGCCCUUGUGUCCAUACCCUUGUGAUGCGAUGCCCAAAGAAUUCCUAGGGACUCAUGCUGUUUCUCGUUAUUUGGGACCCCUUCCUCUGAGCUGUCUUCCAUUGGCUGUUCUUCCUGGGCUCUGGGCGAUUUUGCUCUAGCUGAGCUCAUCUAUAUAAUCCUAGGCUAUCCCAUCAUUGCCCUGUAAUUGCCAGCUCUGUGCAAGCAAAUAACUUACAAACACAUCCCUCUGGCCAGGCUGCUCUUCUGAGCUCCCAUACGAAAGUCACUGCUUCUGAUCUUGAAUGUCUCAAAGGCACUCCACACUAACCAUAUCCAAACCAAAUUCAUUCAUCUUAGCACACUUGCCCCUAGUUUACUCCACCUUUGUGCUCUCUGUCUCUCUCCAUCUCUGUCUGUCUCUGUCUCUCGCUCUCUUUCUCUCUCUCUCCCUCCCUCCCUCCUCCUUUCUCUCUCUCUCCCUCCCCUCUCUCUCAAAGAAUGGCAACUUGUGUUUACAAUAUUUUUCUCUCUUACCUUCUAUGUCAUUUGUACUACCCAGUCCCUGGAUCAUAUUCCCUACAAACUUCUUAAAUGUUUUUAGUUCUCUUUAUCUAUAUCAGCACCAACCAAAUGCAAGUUACAUCAUAUAUGAUGUGGAUCACAGCGAUAGCCUCCCAACUACUCUAUUAGCAGCCACUCUGGCCUAUUUCCUAAUGUGCAUCUGACUAUGUCACACAUCCUCCCCCUGCAUUCAUCCUCACCACUUCAAAUGUGUCGCUGGCUUCCCCUUGUGUCGAGGAUAAAGAUGAAACCCCUUAACAUGACUUUCAGAGUCCUUGCAUGGCCCACCUCCUCUCUGCCUCUCAAGCCUGAAUUCAUCUCUAGCUUUCCCUUGUCCUCUCUGCAAUGGCUGUGCUGGCUUUUUUCCAGGUCUCAACCUACUAUUCAGGCAGUGAGGCCUUUGAGCAUGCUGUUCCCUGUGUCUGGAAUGCUCUUUGGAUCUCAUCUCAACCAUUCCCUGGUCACUGUAUCAGUAGUUCAAAUGCCCCAUGAUCAGCUCCCCCCACUGGAAGCUACUGCUACCUGACAGCAAUCUUCAGAAUUAAAUGCUAUAUUUAUUAAUUUGAUUAUUUGAUUGACAAUGCCUAUUUAUUUCUCUACUGGAAGAUCUACUUGGGCAAGCUACACAUUAGUUUUUUCUCACUAUUAUAUACUCAGUGCCUCACCCUGUGCCUUUCAUUUAGGCAAAUUAAUGAAUCUUUAAUAUUGAAAUUCAUGUGCUAAAAAUUUGUGUUGAAAUUCACUCUUUCACUCACUCAUUCAUUCCUUCAACAGAUAUUUAUGGAGCAACUACAUAAGCCUGUCCCUCAGUUAGGGAUUGUGCUCAGAUCUGGACAAAAUAGAAAGGAUCCCUACUUUCAAUGGUGUGAUCAUUCUCAUCCAAAAGGACAAAAAAAAAAAAAACAAA
Orcinus orca (killer whale) is the source of this 6766-nucleotide long non-coding RNA. RefSeq lists it as uncharacterized. NCBI's taxonomy places the organism in Eukaryota, Metazoa, Chordata, Mammalia, Artiodactyla, Delphinidae. The record is from RefSeq and is a predicted model, not a curated record. The transcript is spliced from 2 exons.